This 467-nucleotide ribosomal RNA is filed under the name uncultured bacterium. Its description in RNAcentral is "partial 16S ribosomal RNA". It matches the Rfam family "Bacterial small subunit ribosomal RNA", at positions 28 to 506 of the family's 1533-position model. The record is from RNAcentral.
GACGAACGCUGGCGGCGUGCUUAACACAUGCAAGUCGAACGGAAAGGCCCUGCUUUUGUGGGGUGCUCGAGUGGCGAACGGGUGAGUAACACGUGAGUAACCUGCCCUUGACUUUGGGAUAACUUCAGGAAACUGGGGCUAAUACCGGAUAGGAGCUCCUGCUGCAUGGUGGGGGUUGGAAAGUUUCGGCGGUUGGGGAUGGACUCGCGGCUUAUCAGCUUGUUGGUGGGGUAGUGGCUUACCAAGGCUUUGACGGGUAGCCGGCCUGAGAGGGUGACCGGCCAAAUUGGGAUUGGGGAGGCGCCCAGAUCCCAACGGGAGGAAGGGGGGGGGAAUUUGGCCAAAGGGGCGGAGGCCGUAAGGACAAACGCCGGGUGGGGAAUGCCGGCCUUGGGGUUAGAAACCUUUUGCCCCUGUGACGAAGCGUGGUGGCGGGAAAUGGGGAAAGAAACACGGGCAACUUACGG